This 200-nucleotide unclassified non-coding RNA is filed under the name Annulatascaceae sp. RNAcentral describes it as "partial internal transcribed spacer 2". Lineage: Eukaryota; Fungi; Ascomycota; Sordariomycetes; Annulatascales; Annulatascaceae. The record is from RNAcentral.
UUAAGUUCAGCGGGUAUUCCUACCUGAUCCGAGGUCAACCUUUAAGACUUUAGGGGGUUUAACGGCUAGAAACCCACCGGUGCCCCUAAGCGAGAGAGAUCUACUGCGCUCGGGGUCCCGGCGAGACCGCCACUGAUUUUCGGGGCCUACAGCAGCUGUAGGGCGCCCAACACCAAGCAGCCAGGGCUUGAGGGUGGAAA